UACGUAGGGGGCGAGCGUUGUCCGGAGUUACUGGGCGUAAAGCGCACGCAGGCGGUCUGCUAAGUUUGGAGUGACAGUUGGUGGCUUAACUGCCAAAGUGCUUCGAAAACUGACAGGCUUGAGGGCUUCAGAGGGACACGGAAUUCCGGGUGGAGUGGUGAAAUGCGUAGAGAUCCGGAGGAACACCAAAGGCGAAGGCAGUGUCCUGGGGAGUCCCUGACGCUCAGGUGCGAAAGCCAGGGGAGCGAACAGG
This 253-nucleotide ribosomal RNA is filed under the name uncultured bacterium. Its description in RNAcentral is "partial 16S ribosomal RNA". It matches the Rfam family "Bacterial small subunit ribosomal RNA", at positions 524 to 776 of the family's 1533-position model. The record is from RNAcentral.